AAAAGUGUAAUUGAGUGCUUCAAUUACAUCCAAUUCGGUAGGAUUCACCGGCUACAAUGGUUACCCAAAUAUGUCACGUUUUUGUAAUUAUAAUCAAUUACACCCAAAUCUAUUUACUAGGUGGCUUUCAAAUCAUUACAUUGAUAUUUUUACGUUGAAUGACACAAAAGUUUUAUGUUAAACAUAUUUUGAUAUUAAUAUGAAAUAUAGUCCUUUGAAUAUAAGCAUGAAUUAGGGGUGUAAUUGAGCCGAACUGACCCCAAAU
Molecule: long non-coding RNA, 265 nt
Filed under: Gossypium barbadense (sea-island cotton)
Lineage: Eukaryota; Viridiplantae; Streptophyta; Magnoliopsida; Malvales; Malvaceae
Description: long non-coding RNA (GBAR_LNC023543)
Source: RNAcentral